This 448-nucleotide ribosomal RNA is filed under the name uncultured bacterium. RNAcentral's name for it is "partial 16S ribosomal RNA". It matches the Rfam family "Bacterial small subunit ribosomal RNA", at positions 29 to 523 of the family's 1533-position model. The record is from RNAcentral.
AACGAACGCUGGCGGCAGGCCUAACACAUGCAAGUCGAGCGCGUAGCAAUACGAGCGGCGCACGGGAUAGUAACGCGUGGAAACCUACCUUUCGGUUCGGAAUAACAUCGGGAAACUGGUGCUAAUACCGGAUACGCCCUUCGGGGGAAAGAUUUAUUGCCGAUAGAUGGGCCCGCGUUGGAUUAGCUAGUUGGUGAGGUAACGGCUCACCAAGGCAACGAUCCAUAGCUGGUCUGAGAGGAUGAUCAGCAUCACUGGGACUGAGACACGGCCCAGACUCCUACGGGAGGCAGCAGUGGGGAAUAUUGGACAAUGGGGGGCAACCCUGAUCCAGCCAUGCCGCGUGAAUGAUGAAGGCCUUCGGGUUGUAAAGUUCUUUUGGUGGGGACGAUGAUGACGGUACCCACAGAAUAAGCUCCGGCUAACUUCGUGCCAGCAGCCGCGGUAA